UACAGAGACUGCAAGCGUUAUUCGGAUUCACUGGGCGUAAAGGGUGCGUAGGCGGCCGGGUAAGUCUGAUGUGAAAUCCCGCAGCUCAACUGCGGAACGGCAUUGGAUACUAUUCGGCUCGAGGAGUGGAGGGGAGACUGGAAUACUUGGUGUAGCAGUGAAAUGCGUAGAUAUCAAGUGGAACACCAGUGGCGAAGGCGAGUCUCUGGACACUUCCUGACGCUGAGGCACGAAAGCCAGGGGAGCAAACGGG
This 253-nucleotide ribosomal RNA is filed under the name uncultured bacterium. RNAcentral's name for it is "partial 16S ribosomal RNA". It matches the Rfam family "Bacterial small subunit ribosomal RNA", at positions 524 to 776 of the family's 1533-position model. The record is from RNAcentral.